AAAUAGAUACCCGGGUAGUCCACGCCGUAAACGAUGAGUGCUAAGUGUUAGAGGGUUUCCGCCCUUUAGUGCUGCAGCUAACGCAUUAAGCACUCCGCCUGGGGAGUACGGUCGCAAGACUGAAACUCAAAGGAAUUGACGGGGGCCCGCACAAGCGGUGGAGCAUGUGGUUUAAUUCGAAGCAACGCGAAGAACCUUACCAGGUCUUGACAUCCCACUGACCGGUAUAGAGAUAUACCUUUCCCUUCGGGGACAGUGGUGACAGGUGGUGCAUGGUUGUCGUCAGCUCGUGUCGUGAGAUGUUGGGUUAAGUCCCGCAACGAGCGCAACCCUUGAUCUUAGUUGCCAGCAUUUAGUUGGGCACUCUAAGGUGACUGCCGGUGACAAACCGGAGGAAGGUGGGGAUGACGUCAAAUCAUCAUGCCCCUUAUGACCUGGGCUACACACGUGCUACAAUGGAUGGUACAAAGGGCUGCAAGACUGCGAAGUCAAGCCAAUCCCAUAAAACCAUUCUCUAGUUCGGUAUUGCAGG
RNAcentral lists this ribosomal RNA (532 nucleotides) under uncultured bacterium. Its description in RNAcentral is "bacterial SSU rRNA". It matches the Rfam family "Bacterial small subunit ribosomal RNA", at positions 776 to 1304 of the family's 1533-position model. The record is from RNAcentral.